Molecule: ribosomal RNA, 910 nt
Filed under: Vibrio harveyi
Lineage: Bacteria; Pseudomonadati; Pseudomonadota; Gammaproteobacteria; Vibrionales; Vibrionaceae
Description: bacterial SSU rRNA
Rfam family: Bacterial small subunit ribosomal RNA
Source: RNAcentral
AUGCAGUCGAGCGGAACGAGUUAUCUGAACCUUCGGGGAACGAUAACGGCGUCGAGCGGCGGACGGGUGAGUAAUGCCUAGGAAAUUGCCCUGAUGUGGGGGAUAACCAUUGGAAACGAUGGCUAAUACCGCAUAAUACCUUCGGGUCAAAGAGGGGGACCUUCGGGCCUCUCGCGUCAGGAUAUGCCUAGGUGGGAUUAGCUAGUUGGUGAGGUAAUGGCUCACCAAGGCGACGAUCCCUAGCUGGUCUGAGAGGAUGAUCAGCCACACUGGAACUGAGACACGGUCCAGACUCCUACGGGAGGCAGCAGUGGGGAAUAUUGCACAAUGGGCGCAAGCCUGAUGCAGCCAUGCCGCGUGUGUGAAGAAGGCCUUCGGGUUGUAAAGCACUUUCAGUCGUGAGGAAGGUAGUGUAGUUAAUAGCUGCAUUAUUUGACGUUAGCGACAGAAGAAGCACCGGCUAACUCCGUGCCAGCAGCCGCGGUAAUACGGAGGGUGCGAGCGUUAAUCGGAAUUACUGGGCGUAAAGCGCAUGCAGGUGGUUUGUUAAGUCAGAUGUGAAAGCCCGGGGCUCAACCUCGGAAUAGCAUUUGAAACUGGCAGACUAGAGUACUGUAGAGGGGGGUAGAAUUUCAGGUGUAGCGGUGAAAUGCGUAGAGAUCUGAAGGAAUACCGGUGGCGAAGGCGGCCCCCUGGACAGAUACUGACACUCAGAUGCGAAAGCGUGGGGAGCAAACAGGAUUAGAUACCCUGGUAGUCCACGCCGUAAACGAUGUCUACUUGGAGGUUGUGGCCUUGAGCCGUGGCUUUCGGAGCUAACGCGUUAAGUAGACCGCCUGGGGAGUACGGUCGCAAGAUUAAAACUCAAAUGAAUUGACAGGGGCCCGCACAAGCGGUGGAGCAUGUGGUU